Long non-coding RNA from Vicia villosa (hairy vetch), 986 nucleotides. RefSeq lists it as uncharacterized. The transcript has 6 exons. The record is from RefSeq and is a predicted model, not a curated record. Lineage: Eukaryota; Viridiplantae; Streptophyta; Magnoliopsida; Fabales; Fabaceae.
CUAUUUUCUUCUAUUUACAAGUUUCAGGUCUAACUGAUUUCAGGACAUGGGGUACAAUUGCCUCUAUGGAAUUUUGUGUGAACUCUGGAACUUUCAGAAUCGUCGGUGAUAUAACAGGUUACUCAAAUUUCAUUCAUAAUGUUCCUUUCUCUUCCAAUUUUUUAUGGUGCCUUGAAAUUGGAAUGACUGAUGGUGUUGGCGUUUAUAACCCUGGCUUUUGGGGCAUGGUAAGACUAAUUGAUACCCUUGCAUCAAUUUGAUCUUAAAUCAAAUCCUUAUAUGAUUACUUUCAUUACGAGUUAUUUUUAUUUCUUAGUCGUUGAUUCAUCGAGUACUGCUUUUAGAAUAUUGAGCAUGGGAAGAAAUAUAAAAUUAUGUUUUAUGCUCGUUUAACUGGACCACUUAAUCUAGUAGUUUCGUUCACUGGACUGAACGGUGUGGGAAACCUCGCUUCAACCGUGAUCACGGGCUCUGCGUCUGAUUUUUCAAACUGGACGAAGGUUGAGACUGUAUUGGAGGCCAAGGCAACGAGUCGAAACUCGAGACUUCAAUUAACGACAACAUAAGGUACAUGGUUUCCGAAAUGAUCUUUUUCAAAUGCUGAUAGAUAUGAAACCAAGUUUUAUCAGAUUUCCGGUUAAAAUGCUUUCGGUUUGUUGAGAAGCUAUCAGAGGACUUGGGCGCUUUACCAAUAUGGGUAUUCAAUAAUGGUGUAAGCCAUACCGAUGAAUUUGAUACAUCUGCCGUUUUACCUUUUGUGCGAGAUAUUGUUGAGGCCAAGGAAUAUUUGAAGCAAAGAGGAGUUGAUGUUAGCACCAGCUGAAGUGGUCUAUAGAUCUUCUCUGAAGUUUAGAAUUAGCUGCUACCAGCAAUUAAUUAUCUGAUUCAGAGCUGGAAAGAAUUUUUGGCAUUUUACCUUGUACUCAAUAGUAAUUAAUGUACAUGCAGUUUUGAAUUUUCCCUAAUCUGUUGUUUUCUUUCUUUUA